RNAcentral lists this ribosomal RNA (429 nucleotides) under Chloroflexota bacterium. RNAcentral describes it as "Chloroflexi bacterium partial 16S ribosomal RNA". It matches the Rfam family "Bacterial small subunit ribosomal RNA", at positions 355 to 776 of the family's 1533-position model. The record is from RNAcentral. Lineage: Bacteria; Bacillati; Chloroflexota.
UGGGGAAUAUUGCACAAUGGGCGCAAGCCUGAUGCAGCCAUGCCGCGUGUGUGAAGAAGGCCUUCGGGUUGUAAAGCACUUUCAGCGGGGAGGAAGGCGAUAAGGUUAAUAACCUCAUCGAUUGACGUUACCUGCAGAAGAAGCACCGGCUAACUCCGUGCCAGCAGCCGCGGUAAUACGGAGGGUGCAAGCGUUAAUCGGAAUUACUGGGCGUAAAGCGCACGCAGGCGGUCUGUCAAGUCGGAUGUGAAAUCCCCGGGCUCAACCUGGGAACUGCAUUCGAAACUGGCAGGCUAGAGUCUUGUAGAGGGGGGUAGAAUUCCAGGUGUAGCGGUGAAAUGCGUAGAGAUCUGGAGGAAUACCGGUGGCGAAGGCGGCCCCCUGGACAAAGACUGACGCUCAGGUGCGAAAGCGUGGGGAGCAAACAGG